UACGUAGGGUGCAAGCGUUGUCCGGAAUUAUUGGGCGUAAAGAGCUCGUAGGCGGUUUGUUGCGUCGGCUGUGAAAUCCCGAGGCUCAACCUCGGGUCUGCAGUCGAUACGAGCAAACUAGAGUGUUGCAGGGGAGACUGGAAUUCCUGGUGUAGCGGUGAAAUGCGCAGAUAUCAGGAGGGAACACCGGUGGCGAAGGCGGGUCUCUGGGCGAACA
RNAcentral lists this ribosomal RNA (217 nucleotides) under uncultured bacterium. Its description in RNAcentral is "partial 16S ribosomal RNA". It matches the Rfam family "Bacterial small subunit ribosomal RNA", at positions 524 to 739 of the family's 1533-position model. The record is from RNAcentral.